RNAcentral lists this ribosomal RNA (530 nucleotides) under uncultured Leptotrichia sp. Its description in RNAcentral is "bacterial SSU rRNA". The stretch from base 62 to 530 matches the Rfam family "Bacterial small subunit ribosomal RNA", at positions 1 to 1004 of the family's 1533-position model. Lineage: Bacteria; Fusobacteriati; Fusobacteriota; Fusobacteriia; Fusobacteriales; Leptotrichiaceae. The record is from RNAcentral.
CUACGGGAGGGAAGUGGUAGAUGUCAGGCUUCCCAGAAAAGCUCUAAACACCAUAAACAAUGUCAGCCUGUACCCGAAACCGACACAGGUAGGGAGGUAGAGUAUACCAAGGGGCGCGAGAUAACUCUCUCUAAGGCGGCCGCGUCGACUGCCCUGGAAACUAUGCGGCUAGAGUACUGGAGAGGUGGACGGAACUGCACGAGUAGAGGUGAAAUUCGUAGAUAUGUGCAGGAAUGCCGAUGAUGAAGAUAGUUCACUGGACGGUAACUGACGCUGAAGUGCGAAAGCUAGGGGAGCAAACAGGAUUAGAUACCCUGGUAGUCCUAGCUGUAAACGAUGAUUACUGGGUGUGGGCAUGAAGAGUGUCCGUGCCGAAGCUAAUGCGAUAAGUAAUCCGCCUGGGGAGUACGGCCGCAAGGCUGAAACUCAAAGGAAUUGACGGGGGCCCGCACAAGCGGUGGAGCAUGUGGUUUAAUUCGACGCAACGCGAGGAACCUUACCAGAUCUUGACAUCCUGCGAAGGCCUGCGG